AGGAAAUAACUUUCCAUAACAGCAGCCCUGACUCUUCUUCUGUGCUCCCUGAUACACGACACAGGAUCUGUCGCUGUUCGGAAUAAAUGUGCCAACUAUCGACAAGGAGCACAAAAUGACCAGCAAGUCCCUGUUUAGAUAGACUUGACAACUAUCGCCAAGGAGCUACACCAAAUGACCAUCAACAAGAUGUUUUGGCUACUCUGCAAAGAAAUGAGGACCCACCAUGGCGGUUCCUUGGGGAGUCUUUGAACCCAGCACCUCCACCUCCAAACUAUGUCAAGGUACUAGAACAAGACCCCCGUCCUCCUUCAGCUAAUGCCUUCUACCAGCAGCACAUGAUGCCUUACUACGUCCUCCAGUAUCCAGGCAGAGGAGGGUCUUAUGCUUAUGGUCAACGUGCAACUGACCCCAGGUAUAUUCAAGCAGGAGGUCAGCUUCUUCCACACUCAGCUUCCUCCCGGUUUCUCAAUAUCAACUCCCCCCAGUGGUCCCUCAGAGCAAUCCAAAAGGAGAUCAGAGACGUCCCAUCCAGGCUCAGAAGUUUCAUUCUUCAUCCAGUGAAUCUUCAUCCAAAAGUGACGGAGACUGAGCGGGUGCUGCUGGAUGAGACAGCUUCAAUCCUUUGAAUAUACCAAUUGUAAAUGAAUAACUUUAUUUACACAAAUGCAUGCAGUUGUUUGUUUUUAUCUUAAGGGAGCAAUGUGGAGGUUUCCUGUUUCUGUUCUAUAUU
Long non-coding RNA from Notothenia coriiceps (black rockcod), 733 nucleotides. RefSeq lists it as uncharacterized. The record is from RefSeq and is a predicted model, not a curated record. The transcript has 4 exons. NCBI's taxonomy places the organism in Eukaryota, Metazoa, Chordata, Actinopteri, Perciformes, Nototheniidae.